GUCUAGGUGCCGGAGUGGUUAACGGGUGACCCUGCUAUCAUCAGAAAGCUCAGGUCAUGUCUUCGGACGCGCAGGUUCGAAUCCUGUCCUAGACG
Molecule: non-coding RNA, 95 nt
Organism: Coniochaeta sp. 2T2.1
Lineage: Eukaryota; Fungi; Ascomycota; Sordariomycetes; Coniochaetales; Coniochaetaceae
Source: the annotation of a GenBank genome assembly